GAAACAUAGGCAGAAGGAAUAAGUAUCUGGUAGAAGAAUGGGAAAAGGCUAGUGUAGCUGAAAUGCAGAGAGUUAAGAAGACAGUGGCAUGAAGUGUACCUGAUCCACAGAUCAGGGCCUUGAGGUUUGUAUUUUGGAUUUUAUCCUAAAUGUAAUAGGAAACCAUUGAAUGGUUUUUAGUGACAUUAUCCACUUUGUAGUCUUUGUUCUAACAGUACUGAAGAAGAUGGAUGGGUAUGGGAGCAAAGUUGAUGUGGGCAGAACAGGAGACCAUUUCAGAUUCAUGGUACUUUGAAGUAGAAUGAUAGCAGGAGAGAUGGAAGAUGAGUGUGAUGUAGGAAGUAAAAUUAACAGGAUUUGGUGAUAAGUUGGUUAUGGAGAUGAAGGACAAGGAAG
This 396-nucleotide long non-coding RNA is filed under the name Homo sapiens (human). RNAcentral describes it as "HSALNT0067442". Lineage: Eukaryota; Metazoa; Chordata; Mammalia; Primates; Hominidae. The record is from RNAcentral.